This 571-nucleotide long non-coding RNA is filed under the name Equus asinus (donkey). Its description in RNAcentral is "lncRNA (ENSEASG00005031975.1)". The record is from RNAcentral. Lineage: Eukaryota; Metazoa; Chordata; Mammalia; Perissodactyla; Equidae.
CAAAAUCCAUGGGUUGAGACCCAAGCCCCUGGAUGAUGGUGUUAGGAGGUGGGGCCUCUGGGGGGUGAUAAGGUUGUGAGAGAGGAGCCCUCAUGAAUGGGAUCUGUGUCCUUAUAAAAGGGACCAGGAGAGCUCCUGCGCCCCUGCCCCCUGGGGCCACAGGGAGAAGUCGGCAGCCUGCAGCCUGGAAGAGGGCCCUCGCCAGAACCCACCCUGCUGACACCCUGAUCUGGCACUUCCAGCCUCCGGAACCAGAGAGAGGAAGUCCCCUGGUUGACGAGCCCGCGUCUGUGCACUUGUUACAGCGGCGGGACCAGCUGAGACACAGGUCAUGAGCCUCUGGAGGGUCGGCUUGUAAUGGAAUUCCCUCUGGCUGCCGUGGGCGGGCUGUCUGGAAGAGCUUCCUGGGAUGAUGGGCAUGUUCUGUGUCUGGUGCUCUGUGACACAGCAGCCAGCAGCCCCCGGCAGCUGUGGACGACCGAGGAAUGGAAUCUUAAAUUUGAUUUACUUUUAAUUAAUAAUUUAAAUGGCCCUCUGUGGCUUGGGGCUGCCGUAUUGGACAGCACCGUUG